GCAUCGUUGGUCUAACGGUUAUGAUGCUUGCCUUCCAAGCAGGCGACCCGGGUUCGACUCCCGGACGAUGCA
Monascus purpureus is the source of this 72-nucleotide non-coding RNA. The record is from the annotation of a GenBank genome assembly. NCBI's taxonomy places the organism in Eukaryota, Fungi, Ascomycota, Eurotiomycetes, Eurotiales, Aspergillaceae.